AGCAGUCGCCGCGGGAAUACGGAGGGGGCUAGCGUUGUUCGGAAUUACUGGGCGUAAAGCGCACGUAGGCGGCUUGGUAAGUUAGAGGUGAAAGCCCGGAGCUCAACUCCGGAAUUGCCUUUAAGACUGCCGAGCUAGUAGGUGAGAGAGGUAAGUGGAAUUCCGAGUGUAGAGGUGAAAUUCGUAGAUAUUCGGAAGAACACCAGUAGCGAAGGCGGCUUACUGGCUCAUUCUAGACGCUGAGGUGCGAAAGCGUGGGGAGCAAACAGGAUUAGAUACCCCGGUAGUCCCUGUCUCUUAUAC
Molecule: ribosomal RNA, 303 nt
Filed under: uncultured bacterium
Lineage: Bacteria
Description: partial 16S ribosomal RNA
Rfam family: Bacterial small subunit ribosomal RNA
Source: RNAcentral